CCCAUUCCCCACCAGGUUGUACCCCCAUCGUGGGUUUCCCUGACCAGGAGAUCUGUGUAUGCCUCCAGGAAGGCGUUCAGGAACACCACAGCAAGUUCUCACCACAGCAAGUUCCCUGUCGCAUCCUACAACAGCGUCAAACCAUUGAGUUGGUUCCCAUCACUCACGCCUUCUAUUCCUACAGUGGAAAAGACUACGACUACUUUGUUUACGGUCUCGAGAAUAAGGUUUUCACUCCUAAAUAUCCUUCCGCCUGUGUUAUAUUAUAAAAGGAAACAUCUCAUGAUAAUGUAAUGGUAAUGUAAUGAAUAUUUUACAGUCAUAGUCAUUACAAUAUACUUUACUUAUUGUUGUCGUAUAAUCAACGAGGUAAGGAAUGUCUGCAGUAUUCUAGAAAUGUGUAACUACCAUUGUAUUGAUUGUGUAUAGACAAAAGUCAAUCCUGACAUUUUUACAUUUGUAAUUAUUAUCAUUUUUUACUCAAAAGGGUGCUAGCCGUGUUGGAACUCAAUGUAAAACCAGUGCCUGUUCAUUCCAGCCAUUCCAACCACAGAUUUUUCCAUCACACAAUUUAAUUGAAAGUAUAUGCUAUACUAUAACAAUGAUAUCCAAAGUAUAUGAAGUUGGAUAAUGGAAUAUUUUAUUCUGAAUUUUGUUAUGUUUCUCUGUACCUCUGUGGCCUCUCCAGUUUUGAUCAUAGAGAUGGAACUGUAGACCAUAGAAAGAGAAGCGGAAUCAUUUUAAUUCUAUGGAGAAUCUAGUCAAUCUGUUUCUAUGGUUUUGGAUCAUCCACUGAGGUCUAAGCUCAGAGUAAGAGAGGUUUUGCCUGUGUGUUUCUAAUUGUAAUCAAUGAAAUGGUUUUAUAUAAAUCUGCAUUUUAAUACAUGCACCUUACAACCUAUAUGCAAAAUAAAACAACUUUUCUAUGACCUGUAUUUUUAUAAUAAAAAAACGAUAAUUUUGAA
Long non-coding RNA from Salvelinus sp. IW2-2015, 965 nucleotides. RefSeq lists it as uncharacterized. Lineage: Eukaryota; Metazoa; Chordata; Actinopteri; Salmoniformes; Salmonidae. The record is from RefSeq and is a predicted model, not a curated record.